CAAGCGGCCAGGGGCUUGCCGGUCAAAGUGGAGAAGAUUCCCCUGGUUCUGACAGUGCUUCUUCGACAAGCUUUCCAGGGAGUAUGGAGGAGUGGCCUCACAGCCUGCAGGCUGCACCUCUUGGCGGGAUGGCUCCAUCUUCUCCAUGCCACUAAGAGGCUCCGGUUGCUGGAAACUUCCAGGCGAUGUCGUCUGAGUUGCUGUUCUCCUGACCACACUGGGGUGGUUCCGUUUCCGUCUUAAGAUGCCUCUGUUCCUCAGUGUGUUUCCAACCUUUUCCAGAGGAAAAUUGCAAGCAAGUGGCUGAUCAUUAAGGGAGAGCAGAGUGCGAAAUCUAUUGCAAACAAGGAGAUGCA
Molecule: non-coding RNA, 356 nt
Filed under: Bubalus bubalis (water buffalo)
Lineage: Eukaryota; Metazoa; Chordata; Mammalia; Artiodactyla; Bovidae
Source: RNAcentral